This 1097-nucleotide ribosomal RNA is filed under the name Domibacillus robiginosus. RNAcentral describes it as "bacterial SSU rRNA". It matches the Rfam family "Bacterial small subunit ribosomal RNA", at positions 434 to 1521 of the family's 1533-position model. The record is from RNAcentral. Lineage: Bacteria; Bacillati; Bacillota; Bacilli; Caryophanales; Bacillaceae. RNAcentral also lists the same sequence under 1 other name.
GUUGUCAGGGAAGAACAAGUACGGGAGUAACUGCCCGUACCUUGACGGUACCUGGCCAGAAAGCCACGGCUAACUACGUGCCAGCAGCCGCGGUAAUACGUAGGUGGCAAGCGUUGUCCGGAAUUAUUGGGCGUAAAGCGCGCGCAGGCGGCCUUUUAAGUCUGAUGUGAAAGCCCACGGCUCAACCGUGGAGGGUCAUUGGAAACUGGAAGGCUUGAGUGCAGAAGAGAAGAGCGGAAUUCCACGUGUAGCGGUGAAAUGCGUAGAGAUGUGGAGGAACACCAGUGGCGAAGGCGGCUCUUUGGUCUGUAACUGACGCUGAGGCGCGAAAGCGUGGGGAGCGAACAGGAUUAGAUACCCUGGUAGUCCACGCCGUAAACGAUGAGUGCUAAGUGUUGGGGGGUUUCCGCCCCUCAGUGCUGCAGCUAACGCAUUAAGCACUCCGCCUGGGGAGUACGGCCGCAAGGCUGAAACUCAAAGGAAUUGACGGGGGCCCGCACAAGCGGUGGAGCAUGUGGUUUAAUUCGAAGCAACGCGAAGAACCUUACCAGGUCUUGACAUCCCGCUGACCGGUCUGGAGACAGAUCUUCCCCUUCGGGGGCAGCGGUGACAGGUGGUGCAUGGUUGUCGUCAGCUCGUGUCGUGAGAUGUUGGGUUAAGUCCCGCAACGAGCGCAACCCUUGAUCUUAGUUGCCAGCAUUUAGUUGGGCACUCUAAGGUGACUGCCGGUGACAAACCGGAGGAAGGUGGGGAUGACGUCAAAUCAUCAUGCCCCUUAUGACCUGGGCUACACACGUGCUACAAUGGAUGGUACAAAGGGCUGCAAGACCGCGAGGUUUAGCCAAUCCCAUAAAACCAUUCUCAGUUCGGAUUGCAGGCUGCAACUCGCCUGCAUGAAGCUGGAAUCGCUAGUAAUCGCGGAUCAGCAUGCCGCGGUGAAUACGUUCCCGGGCCUUGUACACACCGCCCGUCACACCACGAGAGUUUGCAACACCCGAAGUCGGUGGGGUAACCCUUACGGGAGCCAGCCGCCGAAGGUGGGGCAGAUGAUUGGGGUGAAGUCGUAACAAGGUAGCCGUAUCGGAAGGUGCGGCUGG